UGCGUAAAAAAACAUCAAGCACACGACUAAACAAUUCAAACCGUGCGUGUUCGUCAAUGAAAAAGCCAUACUUAGCGAUUCGACGAUACAACGGUUAUAAAACGCGUACAUAUUAUGUAUUAUUAAAUUACAUUCGUAUUGGCUUAAGCGGGCAGAGAACAAAAGUAAACACGGAUUAUUGCCUAAAUGUAUCGAAGGCGCUCGAGAUAGAUAAAUGUUCGAAAACGCAGAAAAACACAAUAUUGUAAUGUAGGUACAUCAAACAAAGAAUUAAAAACGAAAAGCUUUUAAUCCUGAUUAUCGUCUCAUUUCAACUGUUUUAUGGUUUGGUUGGCCGCGGUUUCAAGAAGCUAUUGUUGUACCUAUAUAAAAUUAACCUACACGAUUCUCGCCGUAUAUACUAUAUACGUUAACAUGAGAUACACGAUAUUGGUAGUUUGUACGUGCUACAGCUGAUGUAGAAUGUCAGAUAUUAUCGUAUAGUCAAGGUUAUAAAUUAAUGCACUAAAAAACAGGUAGAAUAUCGGCUAAUACACUGAGUGUGAGAAAUGGUGAACGGGGCCAACUUCUGACUUUAGAUUUUCCGGCACGCGUCAUGUUAUAUAAUAAUUACCGGUGCGUGCUUGGCGGGAGUGUGCGACCACGAAUAGAAAACGACAGUGGAGAAGACUCCGUGACGAUGGCCAUCAGUGAAUAUACACACCCACGGCACGUUGA
This is a long non-coding RNA of Aphis gossypii (cotton aphid), 717 nucleotides long. RefSeq lists it as uncharacterized. The transcript is spliced from 2 exons. Lineage: Eukaryota; Metazoa; Arthropoda; Insecta; Hemiptera; Aphididae. The record is from RefSeq and is a predicted model, not a curated record.